Molecule: ribosomal RNA, 245 nt
Filed under: uncultured bacterium
Lineage: Bacteria
Description: partial 16S ribosomal RNA
Rfam family: Bacterial small subunit ribosomal RNA
Source: RNAcentral
GACGGAGGGAGCAAGCGUUGUCCGGAAUAACUGGGCGUAAAGAGCUCGUAGGCGGGAGCCUAAGUCCGGGAGUAAAUCCACCAGCUUAACUGGUGAAUCAUCCUGGAUACUGGGUUUCUUGAGGACAGGAGGGGAAAGGGGAAUUCCUGGUGUAGCGGUGAAAUGCGUAGAUAUCAGGAGGAACACCUGUGGCGAAGGCGCCUUUCUGGACUGUUCCUGACGCUGAGGAGCGAAAGCUAGGGGAG